This 73-nucleotide transfer RNA is filed under the name Dipodomys ordii (Ord's kangaroo rat). It matches the Rfam family "tRNA". From Rfam's summary of the family: Transfer RNA (tRNA) molecules are approximately 80 nucleotides in length. Their secondary structure includes four short double-helical elements and three loops (D, anti-codon, and T loops). Lineage: Eukaryota; Metazoa; Chordata; Mammalia; Rodentia; Heteromyidae. The record is from Rfam by way of RNAcentral.
GGAGGCAUGGCUCAAGUGGCAGAGCACUUGUCUCACAAGCAUGAAGACCUGAGUUCAAACCCUAAUAUCACCA